AUUGAACGCUGGCGGCAGGCUUAACACAUGCAAGUAGAACGAGUGGCGGAAGGGUGAGUCAUGCUUGAGAAUCUAGAUUAUGGAGGGGGAUAACUACUGGGAAGUGUAGCUAAUACCGCGUACCAUCGGCUGAGCCAAAGUGGGAUUAGGUAGUUGGUUGGGGAAAGGCUCACCAAGCCGACGAUCUCUAGCUGGCCUGAGAGGAUGACCAGCCACGCGGGGACUUGUACACGGCACAGACUCCGACGGGAGGCAGCAGGGGGUAAUAUUGCGCAAGGGGGGCAACCUGACGCAGCCAUGCCGCGUGAAUGAAUAAGGCCUUCGGGUUGUAAAGUACUUUCAGUAGCGAGGCGGUAACGAAAGAAGAAGCACCGGCUAACUCCGUGCCAGCAGCCGCGGUAAUUC
This 405-nucleotide ribosomal RNA is filed under the name uncultured bacterium. Its description in RNAcentral is "partial 16S ribosomal RNA". It matches the Rfam family "Bacterial small subunit ribosomal RNA", at positions 30 to 526 of the family's 1533-position model. The record is from RNAcentral.